GGCUUAUCUUUUUGUUGGUUGUCUCGUCGUCCGUUUACCGACGGUUGUGUGGUCAUACUUCGGAACUGUGACGCAGCAUAAGACGGCGAUGGCGGCCGGCGUACGUACGUGUUCGAUGGUGCAGGAUCCAGACAUCCGAAUGAGAAUCUUCGAUGAAAGUAAUUAGCGGUGAAAUACUUGCGCGGAGCCGUGAGCGCCUCACGGAGAAGGCAUCGAUCAGUCAGUCGGCCGUUGUCACGCGCGCAUCGUGAGGCGGCGGCGGCAUGACGGGCGAAGAAGGGUAGGUAGGAUGGGAAGCGCACGUACGGGACCCCGCGUUUUGUUCAGUACCGCGCUGCCGAUUCGUACCCAGGGUCCAGGCCACGAAGCAGCCAAGCAGGCCCGCGAUUUUUUUUCCUUUUUCCGUUAUCGCUGUUGCCGGCAUUUAAUUACGUCGUUUUUUUUCUUUUUCUUAAACAUCUGUCUUUUACCGAUUCAUAAAAACGAAAGAAACAACUUUUAAAAUAUAUCCUUAGUAAAACAAAACGUAACGUCAACAAGAUUUGAAGUCAAAAUCGUCAUGUCUUUGAUGAUGAAAUUAUGCAACACUAGACCUAUACAGAGACUAGAUUAACUUUGUGGGUAAUCAUAAUUGGUGACAAUAUAAGACCAUUGAACACAGUGUGACCAGGGACACAGCCCUCCAAGACAGAUUAUCAAAUUGUUUAUUGGCUAUUGAACCAACGAGCCGGAAAACAUCAAAAUAUCCAACGACCUGGAAAACAUCAAAAUAUCAAUAGAACAAAGAGGUAGUUGCACCAGUGGCCCAACAAAUUGAGAGAUGUGAGCACGUCAAUCUAACAAGUUGC
RNAcentral lists this long non-coding RNA (848 nucleotides) under Brachypodium distachyon (stiff brome). Its description in RNAcentral is "long non-coding RNA (BDIS_LNC003608)". The record is from RNAcentral. Lineage: Eukaryota; Viridiplantae; Streptophyta; Magnoliopsida; Poales; Poaceae.